This 253-nucleotide ribosomal RNA is filed under the name uncultured bacterium. Its description in RNAcentral is "partial 16S ribosomal RNA". It matches the Rfam family "Bacterial small subunit ribosomal RNA", at positions 524 to 776 of the family's 1533-position model. The record is from RNAcentral.
UACGUAGGGUGCGAGCGUUAAUCGGAAUUACUGGGCGUAAAGCGUGCGCAGGCGGUGAUGUAAGACAGAUGUGAAAUCCCCGGGCUCAACCUGGGAACUGCAUUUGUGACUGCAUGGCUAGAGUACGGUAGAGGGGGAUGGAAUUCCGCGUGUAGCAGUGAAAUGCGUAGAUAUGCGGAGGAACACCGAUGGCGAAGGCAAUCCCCUGGACCUGUACUGACGCUCAUGCACGAAAGCGUGGGGAGCAAACAGG